RNAcentral lists this ribosomal RNA (579 nucleotides) under bacterium SL3.7. RNAcentral's name for it is "bacterial SSU rRNA". It matches the Rfam family "Bacterial small subunit ribosomal RNA", at positions 57 to 635 of the family's 1533-position model. The record is from RNAcentral.
GCAGUCGAACGGGAUUCUCGACUUCGGUUGGGAUGAGAGUGGCGCACGGGUGCGUAACGCGUAUGCAACCUACCUUUUACAGGGGGAUAGCCCGGAGAAAUUCGGAUUAAUACCCCAUAAUAUAAUUUUUAGGCAUCUAGAGAUUAUUAAAGCUGAGGCGGUAAGAGAUGGGCAUGCGUCUGAUUAGCUAGUUGGCGGGGUAACGGCCCACCAAGGCAACGAUCAGUAGGGGUUCUGAGAGGAUGAUCCCCCACACUGGCACUGAGAUACGGGCCAGACUCCUACGGGAGGCAGCAGUAGGGAAUAUUGGUCAAUGGGCGAGAGCCUGAACCAGCCAUGCCGCGUGCAGGAAGACGGCCUUCUGGGUUGUAAACUGCUUUUCUACGGGAAGAAAACGCCCAUGCGUGGGUAACUGACGGUACCGUAGGAAUAAGCACCGGCUAACUCCGUGCCAGCAGCCGCGGUAAUACGGAGGGUGCAAGCGUUGUCCGGAUUUAUUGGGUUUAAAGGGUGCGUAGGCGGGCGAUUAAGUCAGUGGUGAAAGCCGGCAGCUCAACUGUCGAAAUGCCAUUGAUACUG